GGGCCUCUCUGCUUUCUACGGUGCUCCCAAGCCGGAAACCGAAGCCAUCGCUCUCAUCCACCACGCUAUUCACUCCGGUGUCACUUUCCUUGAUACCUCUGACAUUUACGGUCCUGAAACCAACGAGGUUCUUCUCAGCAAGGUUCGAUUUUUGAUCAUUCCCCAUCUUCGAUUUCAUAUUGAUAUUGUUUAAUAGAGGAACUGGCCUUGAUUCGUUGAGCUUCAUAGCUGUAGAAAGGAUUCCGAUGUUGCAAGUUUGGAUUUUUGUUGAAAAUUUGGAUUUUUGUCAGGCUCUGAAGGAUGGAGUGAGAGAAAAAGUGGAACUUGCCACCAAAUAUGGAAUCAGGUAUGCAGAGGGGAAAGUAGAGUUUAACGGAGAUCCUGCGUAUGUAAGAGCUGCGUGUGAGGCAAGUUUAAAGAGGCUAGAUGUUACCUGCAUUGAUCUCUAUUAUCAGCAUCGAAUUGAUACUCGUGUCCCUAUCGAAAUCACUGUAAGUAAGCCCUCUCCUUUUCAAUCUUCCUUGAUGGUUUUGCAACUUUCAAAUGAAAUGGAAGUUAUGUACUUCAUCUCCGUGGCUAGGGACAUGUUGGGGCUAAUAUAGAGUUGAAGAAUUUAGAUUUCAGAACCUGUAAAAUGAUCUGGUGAAAUGAUCUUGAACUGAGCGGUUUGGAGGCUUUCUCAUCUAUCAUCACCUGUAAAUAGUCCAUCUUGCGAGGAUAGGAUUGUCACUUAGUCCUUCCAAUGUGGGAUCUUAUCAUCCCCCUAAGAAUGUUUCAUUUGAAUAGACUCCUCCAUUAGGUUUGACACUGAGCUCUAAUUGGGUUGCCACACUUGAUGACCUUUAUAGAAAGCCGGCACCUUUUGCUGAACUUAACAAUCUCUUUUGUCUGUCAAUUUCAAAGAUAGGAGAGCUGAAGAAGCUAGUUGAAGAAGGUAAAAUAAAGUAUAUCGGUUUGUCAGAAGCUUCAGCUUCAACUAUUAGAAGAGCACAUGCUGUUCACCCGAUAACCGCUCUGCAAAUUGAAUGGUCCUUAUGGUCGAGAGAUGUGGAAGAAGAUAUCAUUCCAACUUGCAGGUAUCCAGAUUUCAUUUAAUCCUCCUUUCUUGAUGCACUAUCUAUCAAGUACGUAACAUCUUCUCUCUCUUUCUUCAGGGAACUUGGAAUUGGAAUUGUUGCUUACAGUCCUCUGGGACGAGGUUUCUUUGCAUCAGGACCCAACCUUGUUGAGAACCUAGACAAUAAUGACGUCAGAAAGGCAAGUACACAGCCUUUUUAUGACUUGUUUGAUUGAUGAACUGUUGGUAAUCAACUCACUGUUUAUCUGCUCAACUCUGUUUCUUAUUGCAGACUCUACCAAGAUUCCAACAGGAAAACUUAGUUCACAACAAGAUUCUCUUUGAGAAAGUUUCUGCAAUGUCGGAGAAGAAAGGGUGCACUCCCGCACAACUAGCCCUUGCAUGGGUUCAUCACCAGGGAGAUGAUGUUUGCCCCAUCCCAGGAACCACUAAGAUUGAAAACCUUAACCAGAACAUUGGAGCUUUAUCAGUGAAACUUACUCCCGAAGAGAUGUCUGAGCUCGAGUCCCUUGCCCAACCAGAGUCUGUGAAAGGAGAAAGAUCCAUUAGCAUCCUGACCACGUUCAAGAACUCUGAGACUCCACCAUUAUCUUCUUGGAAAGCCGCUUAAAAUUGUCCGAGUUUCUCUGGUUGUUGUGGGGUUCAUGACACUGAAGUGGUCUAACUUAUAUCAGCCAGAUCAAGGUAAUAAAUGUGUUAAUGCCUUGAAGAAUAAAUAAUUUAUAGAGUUCCCCAGGUGAAAACUUCAAUUUACAUUUCAUACAUUGUAACCAAACUCUAUAAACAAAUAUAUGUUCUGAUACAAACUUAAAUAACGUUUACACCAAAAAUCUUACCAAGCUAUCUAUAUCGUCACCCAACUCUAUGAAGGAUAUGUGCGAUGAAAAUGUCUCGGUUCCAUCUCUUUUGUUCUUGUUUUUUUCUUCUGCAUUUCCCCCACUUCUCCUUUUUGAUUUUCAUAAUUAGUUUUGCAGAUAAAGAUUUCCAUAAUAUUCAACAAAAAAGUAUAAUUUUCAUAAAGCUAAGAAAAAGUAUUUAUUUAAAAAAUUAACUCACAGGUCAUUAGAUUUACUUCAAUUUAAUAGAGAGGUAAAGUGUUUAACUUAGACUCCGAUGAGUAACAUUAAUUACAUAAUUGCAUAAAAUUAUCACAUAAAUUGCAAAUUGAAAACUCGCAGAAAUUGUAGAAUGAAAAUUUGUGCUGAUUCAAUACAUUUGUAUACCCAUUUACUAGAUUUUAACCCGCGGUACACCGCGGGAUGAUUUAAUUUUAAAGUUAGUAUAAAAAUAUUUUGUAAAUUGUAUCUCCUUAUAACAUAUUUAUUUAUAUUAUAGUUUACAAUUGUUAUUAAGUAACGGUAUACCACGAGUCCACGAGAUAAUUAUUAAUGAACUGAGGAUUUAACCCGUAUUAAAGCGGUAUAUAAAUAUUGAUUCAAAUUCGUCCGCCAUAUAAAUCAUUUCCGAAAUAUAACCCGUUCCGUAAUUUCUUAACCCGUCCUGUGAUUUGUAUUAAAAAAAAUAAGGAUUAAAUCCGUAUUGAAGCGGCGGAUUAAUGAUAUUUUAAUCUUUUUAUUAUUGUUGAUUCAAAAACCCGUCCCGCCAAACCCAUCCCGCCAAAAAACUCAUUUAUUUUAUUAAUGUUCUUAUUUAUGAUAUGAUUCUGAAUCAUUGUCUAAAUAUUUUAAUCGAUAUAGAACGUUGAACACACAUUUUCGUCAAUUGGAUAAUAUAUGUCCGUUUUUAAAAUUUCGAAUCACAGUAUAUGCAGAAAAAAAAUUGAUUUUUUUUUUACUUUAUGUAUUAUAUGAUGAUUCAAAACAGUUAAAAACAAAUCAAACAAAGGUGAUAGGAGAAUCAUAAUUAUAAAUCUUAAUCAAAUCUUCUAAAAAUCUAAAUUAUUAAAUAUGGAAUAUCCAGUGUAUGAGUUGGGUUAAAUAUAACCCGACCCAACAAAUUUUUUGUGAAGGAAUUUUUAAAAUGGGUCGGAUAUCCGAUAUACCCGAAAGAUUUUUUACCCACCCGUCACAAAAAGUGCUGCGAUUAUACUAGUAUAGAUUUGCAGAAUGAGUUAUAGGCGAAAAAGGCAAAUUUGCGUUUUGUCAAACAUCGUAGAUAAUUUUUUUUUAUUAGUAAACUUUUUGCAUAGUCGCAUUAGAAAAUGUCAUUCAAUUUAAUAAACUUAUAAAAAAUAUAAUUGUUGUUAAAAUAUUAUAACAACAAAAAUAAAAAUAAACCUCUUCAUAAACAUUAUUAAUAGAUUUUAAAUUUGAAUUAACAAGAAAAAAAAAUUGAAGUUUAUAGUUUCUCACAAGUGAAGAAGACUGUUAAGAGUAUAUUUGGUUAAAAGGAGUUUGACUUGUGAAAAUUCCAUUACUUUUUUUGGUUAACAAUUUCAAUUUUGUUUUCGUAAAGAGGAAAAAAAACUGCACCAACCAGACAAAAGCGACACACGGCUUUUCUCUUCAUCAUCAUUCAUCAUUCACCAACCCACCACCUCCAACAACAAUAACUCCACUCAAAAUUCACAGCUCUACAAGAGUCACCUAGACAAGUCAAGAGACAGAGAAAGUUCUGACUUCUGACAGAGAUUCAUGGCGGAAGCUUGCGGAGUGAGAAGGAUGAAGCUGGGAAGCCAAGGCCUUGAGGUAUCGGCGCAAGGCCUCGGUUGCAUGGGCCUCUCUGCUUUCUACGGUGCUCCCAAGCCGGAAACUGACGCCAUCGCUCUCAUCCACCACGCUAUUCACUCCGGUGUCACUUUCCUUGACACCUCUGACAUCUAUGGUCCUGAAACCAACGAGGUUCUCCUCGGAAAGGUUCGAUUUUUAUGAUUCCCGAUCUUCGAUUUGAUCUUCGGUUUUAAAAUUUUGUUCUCUUUUGGGCAACAAAGAACGAUUUAGAGAUGGGAAUUGGCCUUUGAUUUCUUUGAGCUUCAUAGCUGUAGAAUUGAUUUCAAAGUUUGGAUUUUUUUCAGGCUCUGAAAGAUGGAGUUAGAGAAAAAGUGGAACUUGCAACCAAAUUUGGGAUCAGUUAUGCAGAGGGAAAGAGAGAGGUGAGAGGAGAUCCUGAGUAUGUAAGGGCUGCUUGUGAGGCUAGUUUAAAGAGGCUAGAUAUUGCCUGUAUUGAUCUUUAUUAUCAGCACCGUGUCGAUACUCGUGUUCCUAUCGAAAUCACUGUAAGCUUCCUCUUGCAAAUCCUCCUUCAUGCUAUAGUUUCAAAGUUUACAAUUUGGUUAGUCUUAGUCUUUUACUCUUGUCCCUACCGAAAUCACUGUAAGCCCUCUUGCCAAUCCUACUUAAUGGAUUUGAAACUUUCAAAUGAAAUGGAAGUUAUAUAGUUCACUACUUCAAGAGAAAUCUCAGAGAGCUUCACAUCUUGGCUUGGUUUAUCGGACUAAUAGGGACAAAGAAAAUAGAUUGGAGAUGAUGUUUUCUGCUUAGGUUAUUACUCUUUCGAAGUGGCUAGCUUAUUCACAAAGAACAAUGUCUGGUGUAAUGAUCUUUAACUGAGAGAUUUUGAGGCUUUCUUAUCUACUUUCACCUAUAAGUACUCUCCUAAGCCAGCUUGUGAAGAUAGGGUGCCCUUUGGACCUAUUAGCCAUUCACUUUUUCCUCUCCUUUCCAAUGUGGUAUGUUUGGUGAUAAUUAGUCCCUCAGUACCAUCUCCUCUAAGGAUUUUUCGUAUGAAUAGACUCUGUUAGGGUCGGUUCUGAGCUCUACUUCCUGACCUUCAUAGAAAGCCGAAAUCUUUUCCUGAACUUAACCAUUUUUUUGUCUGUCAAUUCCAAGAUGGGAGAACUGAAGAAGCUGGUUGAAGAGGGUAAAAUAAAGUACAUUGGUUUGUCUGAAGCCUCUGCUUCAACUAUCAGAAGAGCGCAUGCUGUUCACCCAAUUACUGCUGUGCAGUUAGAAUGGUCCUUGUGGACGAGAGAUGUGGAAGAAGAAAUCAUUCCGACCUGCAGGUAUUCAGGUUUCAUCCUACUUUCCUGGUGCAAUAUCUAUCAAUCAUGCAAAUUCAUAUUCUCUUUCCUUCUUCAGGGAACUUGGGAUUGGGAUUGUUGCUUACAGUCCUCUAGGACGAGGUUUCUUCGCAUCUGGACCCAAGCUUGUUGAGAACCUAGAAAAGGAUGACUUCAGAAAGGCAAGUACAUAGUCUUUGUGUAUGACUUGUUUGAUUGAUGAACCUUACAUAACCUGUGGAUAAAUCAAAUGACUUUAUACAAACUCAAUUAUUGCAGGCUCUACCAAGAUUCCUAGAGAAAAACUUAGACCACAACAAGAUUGUUUAUGAGAAGGUUUGUGCAAUCUCGGAAAAGAAAGGAUGCACUCCUGCACAGUUAGCUCUGGCAUGGGUUCACCACCAGGGAGAUGAUGUUUGUCCCAUCCCAGGAACCACUAAGAUCGAAAACCUCAACCAGAACAUUGGAGCUUUAUCAGUGAAACUCACUCCCGAAGAGAUGACUGAGCUUGAGGCCAUUGCCCAACCAGGUUUUGUGAAAGGGGAAAGAUACAGUAGCAUGAUACCCACUUUCAAAAACUCUGAGACACCGCCAUUGUCUUCUUGGAAAGCUGCUUAAAAUCGUCUGAGUUUGUCUGGUUGUUGUGGGGUUCAUGACACUGAAGUGGUCUAACUUAUGUCAGUCAGAUCAAGGUAAUAAAUGUGUUAAUGCCGUGAAGAAUAAAUAAUGUAUAGAGUUCCCCCAAGUGAAAACUUCAAUUUACAUUUUCAUACAUUGUAACCAAACUCUAAAAAAUAAGUAGUUAUUUUCACUUGAAGUUAUUUUCACUUGAAGUUAUUUUCGGUUUGGUUUAAUUAAACCAGGAUUCGGGUGUUAUUUUCGGUCCAACACUUAAACAAGCGAAGCGACCCAAUUGGUUGGUUAAUCAUCAUCUUCAUCGAGUCACACCCUAGUUUGCCACUAAACCGAAAAAAUGAAUCUGGCCUGCCAUUUUAUGAUCUAUAUGCCACUAUAUAUAUGUGUUAUCUCCAUUUUACCCUUAAUGAAUUAUUCCUUAUUUAAUUUUUAAAAAGCAAAAGAGAAAAUAAAAAAAAAAACAAAACUCUCAGUAUGUGGGUCCCAAAAAACGUUUAGCGUAUGAUUUUUUUUUAAUGUUGUAUUUACUCGAUAUAUGGGUCCUACUAAAAAGUUUUUUUUUUUUUUUUUUCGGCAGAAUAAUACUCAUAGUUGUCCAGUUGUACUAUCAUAAUCAUAGUUGAACUUUCCACAGUUUUCAUAAUUUGCAGUUGGACGAGACUGUAAAUUAUUUUGCAUUACCAAAGUUUUCAUAAUGGAACAUUGGUGAAAACUACAUUUUCACUUUUUUUACUUCAUAUAUGGUGAUUAUAUACUAAGUAUUCCUUAUAGUAGAAAGGAUGUUUUAUGUGAAAACAACAUUAUUUCUUAGAAGUUAUUAAUUGUAUUGAUCCGAAAUAGUUUGUUUAUAUUUUGGGGAAUUUAAUAUAUAAUUUUACGUUUAUAAUAAAUCAAAUUAUUAUAAGUUAUAAAUUAGGAUUCUAUAAAAAAAUUCUCCAAAAAAAUCUUCAAAUAUAUAUAAACUAUUUUAAAUCAAUACAACCAUAAUUUAUAAAUUUUGUAGCAAGCUUUGUUUUUUUUUUUGUUUUUUCACAUAAAACACUCCUUCUAGUAUAAGGAAGACUUAGUACAUGAUCACCUCGUAUGAAGCAAAAGAGGUAAAAACCAAAUUUUCCUGAACAUUGUAUUAUGAAAACCUCGUAUAUGCUAAUUAAUAGUGAACAAUCAUGUGUCCAACUACUAAUUAAUAAUUUAUACAAUAGUUCAACUGAAAAUACGAAAAAUUCGCCAAAGUCCAACUAUGAAUAUGAGAGUACAACUGGACAACUAUGACUAUAUCCAGCCGCCAAAUCCAAACGUGCAUUUUACUCAGGCCCACAACUGUGCACUUUAGUCGGACCUACAACUGUGCAUUUUACGACACGUAGGAUGAUUUUAAAACAUUUUAUAUUGAAACAUUUUAUAUUUUUUUUAUUUUUUUUUUCUACUUUUCUUCUUUCUCAGUUUAUCUAGUUGGACCGAAUAAUUAGAUCUCAGUUGUACCUAAUAAUUGCAGUUGUACCAAAAUAUCAUCAAAGUACAUAAACAAAAGAUAUAGUUUACCAUAUAUAAACAUCAGUUUCGUUGGAUCUGUAGUUUUCAGUUUCAGUGUCCGCUUCAUCUUCUUUCUCUCAAGUAGUGGGUUAUUGGAUUUGGGUCGAAUUAUUUUGGUUGGGUCUGUAGUUUCCAAUCAUCUAAAAGGUACAUUUCCAUCGCUUUUGAUUUUUUAAAAAAUGGUAAAUAAAAUUACAAAGAAGACGGUGGCAUUCUAGCAUUUUUUUCCGGAGAAAGUGGCUUUCUAGCCAUUGUUUCAUCUUCAUCAGAGAUCAACCCAACUUCACUCAAUGCUGAUGAUGCAGUCUCAGCUCUUAAAAAGCAUAAAUCAAAGUGAAAGAAACCAUUACCACCGUGGGUCGUUCGAUUGCAACUAAAUAAUGUGAAUCAUUUCCAGUUCAACAAUGGAAGGUCUUCGAGAAUCUGAGCAUCUCUUCGUCAAUAAGGACCUCGUCGUGCGUCUCUCUCUCUCUCUAUUCAUCUAUAUAUUUCCUUAUCUGUGUUGCAGACAUUAAACGAUAGAUAAAGGAAAUGAUGUCAUGUGAUCAUCUCAAUUUAGGAUUUUCCUGGUUUAUGUCUGCUACACUAAACCCUAAAUGAUCGAUCCUCUUCAGUAGUAGCUUAAGAAUCUCCAUGGUCAAAAAGGCUUCUUUAUUUUCUCUCACUAAUAUCAUUGUUGCUUUUUUUUUAUGGCUGGAUUAGGAAUUUUAGUUAUCAAUGGAGCAAUUGGCACAAACCCUUUUUCUGAUUUUAGUCUUUUUCACAUGACAGGAUGAUUAUGUCGAAAUUUCCGGUAAAGAUGAUACAUCAGAAAGUUCCAAUGUCAAAAGGAAAGUUGAAAGUCUCUUCUGUGUUAUGAGAAAGAGAACUUGUAGGCACAACUCUGUCGAUGAUGAUGAUAUGUUUCCGGAUUUAGAUAAUAAUGCAGAGAAAGGUGAUGGUGAUGAGGAUAUACGAAAUUGUCUGAGACCUGAAAGUGACUUCUGGUUUGAAAAUCUUACGGAUAGUCCUUAUGAUCCAUUGGAUGAAGGUACCAUUGUAGACGACAGUGGCAGUGACACAAACAUAUCUGAAUCUUCAGAAUUUGAUGUUAUAUCGGAACAUGUUCUAGAAGAAAAUGAUUUGGUAACGGGAUCGAAAUCUUUGGCUAUAUGGUCCAGUGAGGAUAAGGGAGCUCUGGUUAGUAAAUGGUCUUUAGAAACUCGGAAUUCUAUCUUGUUGUUAUCUCCUGAUGAGCAUGGUGUAAGGUCUAAAGAAGAUGAGGUGUUAUCAUCUGUUUCUGCAUCCACAAAGAAAUUACAGCAUAUCAUUGAUCCCCAAAUUAUCUCUGGACAUAGUAAUGACAUCUCUCUCUUCCAUAUAGAACGGAAAAAAGAUCGAAUAUUCUGCAUCACUGGGCAUUGUGAAGAUAUAUUGAGGUGCAGUGUCAACAAAGAAGAUUCAGAAAUCCCAUGCAAUUUUGAUAUCUUCAAGAAUGAUGGCGACAAAUCAUCUGCAAAUGAAGUUAGAUGUGGAGAUGUCAUCAACAUGCAGGGGUCUAUGGAGAUAAUGUGCAUUAAUGAUGAGCUUACACUGUGGAAUAAAGACAAUGAACCAAUACCGAUCAGCAUUGUUCCUCCUGAUGGUUGGGAAAGCGUAUUGCUAGAAACAUGUUCACUUCAUCAGAUAGACAGAUGUAUAAAUGAAUACAAUGUUCGUGAUGAUAACAUUGGCCUUGAAAUAUCUCCAAUACCUUUAACAAAAACUCUGGAAAGACCUAGUAGGCCAUUGUCAGUUUGUGGCUCUAUAGCUGCAGUCAGAAACUUACCUCUAAUGGAAGAUAGCUCAGGUGCUUGUAGUUCUUUGGAUGAACAAGUAUAUGCAAAUGCUAAUAGCUCUGAGGACAGGGACGCAGAACUUGCUCAAACCCCAUCAACUCUAUAUCAGGAAGAAGUGGAUGGAGAAGAUGAGAUUGACAUUGAUGCAAUGGUAAACCCUGAUUACUCUAUACACAAUCGUGUCACAAAUUAUCAUUCAAUGUGUUUUCUGAUCUCUGAUAUCACAUGAAAACAUCUCCAGAUCCGCAAAUUGAAUCUAGUCCCAGAUGAUUCAGAUUCAUGCUUCAACAGGGAAGGUAAACCGUAUGGCUUAUGAUGUCCAAUCAAUCAUGUAACUAAUUCACACUGUUGCAUCCAAAGAGAAUGUAAAAAAAAAAAACAGUUAUGUCUCUCUCAAACUAUAGUUGUCUCAAUUAUGGUUCGCUUCAUGAUACCUAGAAUGGAACAUAUAUAAGCACCCAAGACACGCCUUAAUUGGAUUGGAACACUGCACAAGAACUUCAUUGCAAAGAGCAAAUAUGUUUCAUGGGGCAAUUGCCAUCCUGCAUUGUCGUGAUUCAAAGCAUUUUGUCAGAAAACGCGAGGUAUGUUAGACAAAACAUUUUCUUCUGUCUUGAUGUUUUCAUGUCGUCUCAAGUCCUCUUAGUUACAUGGCAGAAGAUCAUUUAUUUGUCAUAGGUAAUUAUUGGGAGAUCAUCUGAUGGCCUGAAUGUUGACAUUGACUUGAGUAAAUAUAAUUAUGGGAGUAAGAUAUCUCGGCGUCAGGUGAUCCUCUUUCCCUUUCCCAAAUUAAAAUUAGUUCACUAGUUAAGUUCUUAAUUACCAUCUUGCUAAUGUGCUAUAUUUUCUAUCUCUAUAUUAAGGCAUUGGUUAAGCUAGAGAACAACGAAUCAUUCUCUCUAAAGAACCUUGGAAAGCGACAUAUUCUUGUAAAUGGAGAAAAACUCGAUACAGGACAGAUUGCAACCCUCACAUCGUGUAGUUCAAUCGAUGUAAGUCCGAGCUUAUGCUUUGCACUAGUGUGUUUAUGCAUCUUUCUUUAACUAGAACGCCCAAAUUUUGCAGAUUAGAGGAGUAACCUUUGUGUUCAAGAUUAACAAAGAAGCCGUGAGACAAUUCUUGAAGAACAACACACGAAGAAAGACCGAGGAAGACACCAAAUUCAGAUGGUGCGAAUAGAUUCUGUUAAAUUCUCUUUUGCUCUACCACUCUCUGCAUAGUCUUAAUGACCCAUCCACAUGAUUUAAAUGUCCAACCUGACUUAGGGUUAGGAGUUUAGACACCUAAUGCCAAUGAAUGAAUGAUCCCAUCAUAUCUGUGUUAAUGCCUUGAAGAAUAAACUUUGUAUAGAGUUUCCCAAGUGAGAACUUCAAUUAACAUUUCGUACAUUUUGACCAAUCUCUAUUAGGAAGAUUUGUUCUGUAACUCUUUCAAGCUAAAACCUUACCGUAACAAAAGCUCCCUGUUCAUCCAACUCUAUGAAAGAUCUGCUGCGACGUAUCGGUUCAAUCUCUGUUCUUGAUUUCUUCUUCCGCAUUUUCCACUUCUUCCCAAUCGAUUUUCCUGUAACCAUGUUUCCUCUGUCAGCUUCUAUUCAAUUACUUAUGCUUCUUCUAUUACCAAUUUAGAGUCUCAACAGUGAAGAUCAGCUUCUUCUCUAAUCUCUAUCAACUUCUACUCAAUAACUUGUGCUUCUCUUACCAGUUUUUAGAGUCUCAGUGGUAGUAGUUAAUCCAUCAUCUUAUUUUCCGUUUGAUUAAACUUGAUUGGUAUACUUUGGUUUAAGAGUGUUGGUUUAGUUAAACCAGGAUUUGAGUUCAAUCAUCAUCAUCAUCAUCAUCAUCAUCAUCAGUCAAAUCAAAACUCUACGAGAGAGAGAGAGAGACUGAGAAAUUCAUGGCGGAAGCUUGCAGAGUGCGGAGGAUGAAGCUAGGAAGCCAAGGCCUCGAGGUAUCGGCGCAAGGCCUUGGUUGCAUGGGCCUCACCGGUCAUUACGGUGCUUCCAAGCCGGAAACUGAAGCCAUCGCUCUCAUCCACCACGCUAUUAACUCCGGCGUUACUUUCCUUGACACCUCUGACAUGUAUGGUCCUGAAACUAAUGAAAUUCUCCUUGGAAAGGUUCGAUUUUGUUAGUAUCUGAUAUUUCAUUUCGUUCUCUGCUGGGAAAACUUAGAGAUGGGAAUUAGCCUUGAUUUGUUUGAGCUUCAUAGCUUUAGAAAUGAUUGGUCACUUGUUGAAACUUCGAAUUCUGUUAGGCUCUUAAGGAUGGUGUGAGGGAGAAAGUGGAGCUUGCGACCAAAUUUGGAAUUAGCUAUGCAGAGGGAAAGAGGGAAAUUAAGGGAGAUCCUGCCUAUGUUAGAGCUGCUUGUGAGGCUAGUUUGAAGCGGCUAGAUGUUUCCUGUAUUGAUCUUUAUUAUCAGCAUCGGAUCGAUACCCGUGUCCCUAUCGAAAUCACUGUAAGCCCUCCUCUUACUUUCAAUUGAAAUGGACGUUACUUAUACUUCAGGUGGGCUUGAGUGUGUCUCAGUAAGCUUCACAUCUUUGGAUUGGUAUAUGUUUUGAGAUGAUGUUUUCUGCUUAGGUUACUCUUUUAGAAAUUGCUAGCUUAUUCAUAUAGAACCGACUUCUGGUGAAAGUAUCUCUCAUCUACCACUUAAAAGCCACCUUGUGAGGAUAGGGUGCCCUUUAGAGUUUAGACUUAUAAGCCAUUUACUUAGACACUUUUCCUUCCAAUGUGGGAUCUUAUCAUCUCCCUUAAUGAUUGUUCGUUUAAAUAGAAGAUCCUCUCUAGUUCGAUUGCCAUACUUCCUGACCUUUAUAUAGAAAGCUGUUUUGCUGAACUUAACAAAUGUUUUGUCUGUCAAUUCCAAGAUGGGAGAACUAAAGAAGCUGGUUGAAGAGGGUAAAAUAAAGUACAUCGGUUUGUCUGAGGCCUCUGGCUCGACUAUCAGAAGAGCGCAUGCUGUUCACCCAAUUACUGCCGUGCAGUUAGAGUGGUCCCUGUGGACGAGAGACGUGGAAGAAGAAAUCGUCCCAACCUGUAGGUAUGCAGAUUUCAUCCUCCUUUCAUGAUGCAUUAAUUCAUCAAUCAUGUAACGUCUUGUCUUCUUUCUUCAGGGAACUUGGGAUUGGGAUUGUUUCUUACAGUCCUCUUGGACGAGGUUUCUUUGCAUCGGGACCCAAGCUUGUUGAGAACCUAGUCAAUAAUGACUUCAGAAAGGCAAGUACACAGCCUUUUUAUGACUUAUUUGAUUGAUUAACCUUAAAGAAGCGGUGGAUAAAUCAAAUGACUUUAUAUAAAACUCAAUUAUUGCAGGCUCUACCAAGAUUCCAACAGGAAAACUUAGACCACAACAAGAUUCUCUACGAGAAGGUUUGUGCAAUAUCAAAGAAGAAAGGAUGCAGUCCCGGACAACUAGCCCUCGCAUGGGUUCACCACCAGGGAGAUGAUGUUUGCCCCAUCCCAGGAACCACUAAGAUUGAAAACCUCAACCAGAACAUUGGAGCUUUAUCAGUGAAACUCACUCCUGAAGAGAUGUCUGAGCUCGAGACCAUUGCCCAACCAGAGUCUGUGAAAGGAGAAAGAUACAUGGCAACAGUGCCAACCUUCAAAAACUCUGACACUCCACCGUUGUCUUCUUGGAAUGCUGUGUAAAACUGUCUCAGAGUUUUCUCUGGCCAAACCGAUUGUUUAAAGAGUUUAAAUGUGGUUCUGGCCAAAGGAUGAUUUAUGUACCCAUCUUAUAUACUGUGACUAGUCUUACAAUAACUCUUACAAGCUAAAGGCUUACCAAAACAAAGGUUAUCUGUUCAAUCUCCUCUGCUCUGAUUUCUUCUUCCGCAUUUUCCACUUCGCCUUUACCAAUUUUUCUAUACCCAUGUUUCCUCUACCAGCUUCAAUCCAAUUACUUAUGCUUCCCUAGCUACCAAUUAAUCAGCUUCUUCUCUUUGAACUUCUAGUCAACAACUUCUAUAGUAAAAACAUCAUUGUUAUUUUCGGUUUUGGUUAAUUAUGCACUUCAUCAUCAACUUGAAGUUCAACAACUCUGCUCGCGCGAGGGAGAUGAAUCCAUGGCAACUUGCGGAAUGAGGAGGAUAAAGCUGGGAAGUCAAGGCCUUGAGGUAUCGGCGCAAGGCUUUGGUUGCGCUCACUACGGUCCUUCAAAGCCGGAAACUGACGACAUUGCUCUCCUCCAUCACGCUAAUAUCUCCGGUCCUCACACCAAUGAAUUGCUCCUCGCCAAGGUUUUGAUUUCGAUCAGUUUCGAGAGAUUGUUAGAGAUGUUUGGGGUUUGUGUGUUCUCAUUUGGUCGAAUCCCAAACAACAAAAACUUGGCAUUGAUUCUUUUCAUGAAUUUCAUAUUUGUAGUAUGUAGAGAUGAUGAUUACAUUGUUGAAUUUGUUUAACUCUGCCAGGCUUUGAAGGAUGGUAUGAGGGAGAAAGUAGUGCUUGCUACCAAAUUUGGAUGCAUUUUGGUUAAGGGAAAGAGAGAUGUUAGAGGAGAUCCUGAGUAUGUUAGAGCUGCGUGUGAGGCUAGUUUAAAGCGGCUAGAUGUUUCCUGCAUUGAUCUUUAUUAUCAACAUCGGGUCGAUGCGCGCGUCCCUAUUGAAAUCACCGUAAGCCCUCCUCUUGCAAAUCCUCAUCCAUGCCAUUGUUUCAAAGUUUUCAAGUCAGUUCGUCUUAGUCUUGGGAAAUGAUUGAACUAAUAGGCUCUCUGACAGUAGAUUGGAGGCGAUGAUAUUCGCUUGCGUCACUUUAAGUGAACAUUGGAGCUUUAUCAGUGAAACUCACUCCAGAAGAGAUUUCUGAGCUCGAGACCAUUUCCCAACCAGAGUCUGUGAAAGGAGAAAGAUACAUGGCCACAGUGCCAACCUUCAAGAACUCCGACACACCACCGUUGUGUUCUUGGAAUGCUGUGUAAAACUGUUUGUGAGUUUCUCUGGCCAAACCUAUGGUUUUAAGAGUUUAAGGUGGCUCUAGCCAAAGGAUGAUUUAUGACUUUAUGUAUAGAAUACAUUAUUUUCUACCCAUCUUAUACACUGUGAGUCUGUGACCAGGUCUCUGCAUAGUCUUAGUGAUCCAUAUCAGCAUGAUUUAAACGUCCCACCUGGCUUAGCGUUAGGAGUUUUAGACACCUAAUGGCUAAUGCCAAUGAGUAUUCCCAUCAUAUUUGAACAUUUUCCACUUCUUCCAUUUAAAACUUAGCUAGAGCCAAUGAUUUGGAACCAGCCUACAAGACUUCCAAGUAGACAAACUAUAGGUGACAAAAGAUAAAACUUGCCACGUACAGUAUUCUCAAAUAAAGAACACAAAUUGUAGAUAAGAACAUGAAGACCAAAAACUACCUAAUAAUACAAAACUUGCCUACUCAAGAAGACAUGACUCGUUGACUCAGGAUUCAAGACCAUGAAAAAAACAAAUAAUCGAUUAGGUGAAGACUACUGAGCACAAAGUGUUGACACAUCUUUGAAGAUAUAUCACUCAAACACGUACGUAUACAUAGUUCUCAUGUAAGACUAAAAGAAAGAUCUUUUGUAAAAGCACUUUUGUAAAAGAAAGAGGCAAUUUGAGAGUUUUUUUAAUCACACCACUCAUCAACCCAACUUCAACAACUACUCCACUCAGUUCUAAACUCUACAAAAGAGAGAAAGAGAGAGUGAGAUUUGUGACAAAAAUCCAUGGCUGAAGCUUGCAGAGUGAGGAGGAUGAAGCUAGGAAGCCAAGGCCUUGAGGUAUCGGCACAAGGCCUUGGUUGCAUGGCCCUCUCCGCUCGCUACGGUGCUCCCAAGCCGGAAACUGAAGCCAUCGCUCUCCUCCACCAUGCUAUCAACUCUGGUGUUACUUUCUUUGACACCUCUGACAUGUACGGUCCUGAGACCAACGAGUUGCUCCUAGGCAAGGUUCGAUCUACGACUUUAUCUUUUUUUAUUCAAAAGAUUGUCCUAGAUAUUUUGGUUUUUUAUCUUUUAGGAAACAAACUUAGAC
Molecule: long non-coding RNA, 15008 nt
Filed under: Arabidopsis lyrata
Lineage: Eukaryota; Viridiplantae; Streptophyta; Magnoliopsida; Brassicales; Brassicaceae
Description: long non-coding RNA (ALYR_LNC002651)
Source: RNAcentral